RNAcentral lists this ribosomal RNA (497 nucleotides) under uncultured bacterium. RNAcentral's name for it is "partial 16S ribosomal RNA". It matches the Rfam family "Bacterial small subunit ribosomal RNA", at positions 28 to 507 of the family's 1533-position model. The record is from RNAcentral.
GAUGAACGCUGGCGGCGUGCCUAAUACAUGCAAGUCGAGCGAACAGACGAGGAGCUUGCUCCUCUGACGUUAGCGGCGGACGGGUGAGCAACACGUGGAUAACCUACCUAUAAGACUGGGAUAACUUCGGGAAACCGGAGCUAAUACCGGAUAAUAUAUUGAACCGCAUGGUUCAAUAGUGAAAGACGGUUUUGCUGUCACUUAUAGAUGGAUCCGCGCCGCAUUAGCUAGUUGGUAAGGUAACGGCUUACCAAGGCAACGAUGCGUAGCCGACCUGAGGGGGUGAUCGGCCACACUGGAACUGAGACACGGUCCAGACUCCUACGGGAGGCAGCAGUAGGGAAUCUUCCGCAAUGGGCGAAAGCUUGACGGAGCAACGCCGCGUGAGUGAUGAAGGUCUUCGGAUCGUAAAACUCUGUUAUUAGGGAAGAGCAAAUGUGUAAGUAACUAUGCACGUCUUGACGGUACCUAAUCAGAAAGCCACGGCUAACUACGUG